GACGAACGCUGGCGGCGCGCCUAACACAUGCAAGUCGAACGAGCGAGAGAGAGCUUGCUUUCUCAAGCGAGUGGCGAACGGGUGAGUAACGCGUGAGGAACCUGCCUCAAAGAGGGGGACAACAGUUGGAAACGACUGCUAAUACCGCAUGACGCUUCUUGGGGGCAUCCCUGAGAAGUCAAAGCUUUAUGUGCUGAAAGAUGGAUUCGCGUCUGAUUAGCUAGUUGGUGAGGUAACGGCUCACCAAGGCGACGAUCAGUAGCCGGUCUGAGAGGAUGAACGGCCACAUUGGGACUGAGAUACGGCCCAG
This 310-nucleotide ribosomal RNA is filed under the name uncultured bacterium. Its description in RNAcentral is "bacterial SSU rRNA". It matches the Rfam family "Bacterial small subunit ribosomal RNA", at positions 28 to 334 of the family's 1533-position model. The record is from RNAcentral.